AGGCAUUGCUGAGAAACAGCGGGAAAGACCACUGGGACAAGAUGAGAUUGAAGGUAACACCAUCUUCCCCAGUUGCUUCCACGUUGCCAUCCACCCACCUGACCUGCCCUCAGUCCCUUUGUGCAUUUCUGUAUAAAUUCCAUUACAUGGAAUUUUUACAAUCCCUCUCUCUUCCCACUCAACUGUAAUUUUGUAGAACUCUUUCUCGUGGCAGUUGAAGGACCUCCCAAAGUAUUUCGAAGGCAUAUCCAUCCUCAAGUGUCUCCAAGACUCAGGAGUGAAAACAAAUGAGUUUCU
RNAcentral lists this small RNA (297 nucleotides) under Pan troglodytes (chimpanzee). RNAcentral's name for it is "retained intron". The record is from RNAcentral. Lineage: Eukaryota; Metazoa; Chordata; Mammalia; Primates; Hominidae.